This 402-nucleotide ribosomal RNA is filed under the name uncultured bacterium. RNAcentral describes it as "bacterial SSU rRNA". It matches the Rfam family "Bacterial small subunit ribosomal RNA", at positions 30 to 417 of the family's 1533-position model. The record is from RNAcentral.
AGUGAACGCUGGCGGCAGGCCUAACACAUGCAAGUCGAGCGGCAGCGCGUCCGACCACCCUCGGGUGGUCGGAUGGCGGCGAGCGGCGGACGGGUGAGGAAUGCAUCGGAAUCUGCCUCGUUGUGGGGGAUAACGUAGGGAAACUUACGCUAAUACCGCAUACGACCUACGGGUGAAAGUGGGGGACCUUCGGGCCUCACGCGAUGAGAUGAGCCGAUGCCGGAUUAGCUAGUUGGCGGGGUAAAGGCCCACCAAGGCGACGAUCCGUAGCUGGUCUGAGAGGAUGAUCAGCCACACUAGAACUGAGACACGGUCCAGACUCCUACGGGAGGCAGCAGUGGGGAAUAUUGGACAAUGGGGGGCAACCCUGAUCCAGCCAUGCCGCGUGUGUGAAGAAGGCCU